ACGGGCUGAACGCGAGCCACAGGGAGUGUGACACGACUGUGUGAGACCAGUUGGGUGACACGACCGUGCCUCUUUUAAACUCGUUUUAUUUUUAUUUUCUUUAUUUUUUAUUUAUUUUUGAAGACUCAUGUUUUAUAUUUUUAAACUCUACCUAUAUUUAUGGUAAUCAUCAAAUUAUUCCCUUAAUUCUCCUUCACAGUAGUGUCUUCUCAUUUAUUGUAAUGCCCAAAAAAUCCUAAAACCCAAAAAUCCUGAAAUCCCA
Molecule: long non-coding RNA, 262 nt
Filed under: Gossypium barbadense (sea-island cotton)
Lineage: Eukaryota; Viridiplantae; Streptophyta; Magnoliopsida; Malvales; Malvaceae
Description: long non-coding RNA (GBAR_LNC012365)
Source: RNAcentral